Molecule: ribosomal RNA, 548 nt
Filed under: uncultured rumen bacterium
Lineage: Bacteria
Description: bacterial SSU rRNA
Rfam family: Bacterial small subunit ribosomal RNA
Source: RNAcentral
GUGCUUAACACAUGCAAGUCGAACGGGGAUAUCCGAGCGGAAGGCUUCGGCCGGAAGGUUGGAUAUUCGAGUGGCGGACGGGUGAGUAACGCGUGAGCAAUCUGUCCCAGACAGGGGGAUAACACUUGGAAACAGGUGCUAAUACCGCAUGAGACCACAGUAUCGCAUGAUACAGGGGUAAAAGGAGCGAUCCGGUUUGGGGUGAGCUCGCGUCCGAUUAGAUAGUUGGUGAGGUAACGGCCCACCAAGUCGACGAUCGGUAGCCGACCUGAGAGGGUGAUCGGCCACAUUGGAACUGAGAGACGGUCCAAACUCCUACGGGAGGCAGCAGUGGGGAAUAUUGGGCAAUGGGCGAAAGCCUGACCCAGCAACGCCGCGUGAGUGAAGAAGGCCUUCGGGUUGUAAAGCUCUGUUAUAGGGGACGAAGGAAGUGACGGUACCCUAUAAGGAAGCCCCGGCUAACUACGUGCCAGCAGCCGCGGUAAUACGUAGGGGGCGAGCGUUGUCCGGAAUGACUGGGCGUAAAGGGCGUGUANGCGGCCGAUUAA